GAUGAACGCUGGCGGCGUGCCUAAUACAUGCAGGUCGAGCGAACGGACGAGAAGCUUGCUUCUCUGAUGUUAGCGGCGGACGGGUGAGUAACACGUGGAUAACCUACCUAUAAGACUGGGAUAACUUCGGGAAACCGGAGCUAAUACCGGAUAAUAUUUUGAACCGCAUGGUUCAAAAGUGAAAGACGGUCUUGCUGUCACUUAUAGAUGGAUCCGCGCUGCAUUAGCUAGUUGGUAAGGUAACGGCUUACCAAGGCAACGAUGCAUAGCCGACCUGAGAGGGUGAUCGGCCACACUGGAACUGAGACACGGUCCAGACUCCUACGGGAGGCAGCAGUAGGGAAUCUUCCGCAAUGGGCGAAAGCCUGACGGAGCAACGCCGCGUGAGUGAUGAAGGUCCUCGGAUCGUAAAACUCUGUUAUUAGGGAAGAACAUAUGUGUAAGUAACUGUGCACAUCUUGACGGUACCUAAUCAGAAAGCCACGGCUAACUACGU
Molecule: ribosomal RNA, 496 nt
Filed under: uncultured bacterium
Lineage: Bacteria
Description: partial 16S ribosomal RNA
Rfam family: Bacterial small subunit ribosomal RNA
Source: RNAcentral